ACGCUGGCGGUAGGCUUAACACAUGCAAGUCGUGCGAGAAAGUACCUUCGGGUGCGAGUAGAGCGGCGGACGGGUGAGUAACGCGUAGGAAUCUACCUAGUAGAAGGGGAUAGCCCGAGGAAACUCGGAUUAAUACCGUAUACCUCCUUAGGGAGAAAGAGGGCUUAGCUUUGAUGCUCUCGCUAUUAGAUGAGCCUGCGUAAGAUUAGCUUGUUGGUGAGGUAAUGGCUCACCAAGGCGACGAUCUUUAGCUGGUCUGAGAGGACGAUCAGCCACAUUGGGACUGAGACACGGCCCAGACUCCUACGGGAGGCAGCAGUGGGGAAUAUUGGACAAUGGGCGCAAGCCUGAUCCAGCCAUACCGCGUGUGUGAAGAAGGCUUUCGGGUUGUAAAGCACUUUAAGUAAGGAGAAAAAGAUUGUAGUUAAUACCUGCAAUCCUUGAUGUUACUUACAGAAUAAGGACCGGCUAAUUCCGUGCCAGCAGCCGCGGUAAUACGGAAGGUCCAAGCGUUAAUCGGAAUUACUGGGCGUAAAGCGCGCGUAGGUGGUUUUUUAAGUUGGAUGUGAAAGCCCUGGGCUCAACCUAGGAACUGCAUCCAAAACUAGAUGACUAGAGUACGAAAGAGGGAAGUAGAAUUCACAGUGUAGCGGUGGAAUGCGUAGAUAUUGUGAAGAAUACCAAUGGCGAAGGCAGCUUCCUGGUUCUGUACUGACACUAAGGUGCGAAAGCGUGGGUAGCGAACAGGAUUAGAUACCCUGGUAGUCCACGCCGUAAACGAUGACAACUAGCUGUUGGGAGACAAGAUCUUUCAGUGGCGCAGCUAACGCUUUAAGUUGUCCGCCUGGGGAGUACGGCC
This 859-nucleotide ribosomal RNA is filed under the name uncultured Gammaproteobacteria bacterium. RNAcentral describes it as "bacterial SSU rRNA". It matches the Rfam family "Bacterial small subunit ribosomal RNA", at positions 33 to 887 of the family's 1533-position model. Lineage: Bacteria; Pseudomonadati; Pseudomonadota; Gammaproteobacteria. The record is from RNAcentral.